ACGGGCGUAUCUCAAUCUGGUAGAGCACCGGCUUCCAAACCCGACGGUUGUGGGUUCGAUUCCUGCCGCCCGUGC
Molecule: transfer RNA, 75 nt
Filed under: Dactylosporangium siamense
Lineage: Bacteria; Bacillati; Actinomycetota; Actinomycetes; Micromonosporales; Micromonosporaceae
Description: tRNA-Trp
Rfam family: tRNA
About the family: Transfer RNA (tRNA) molecules are approximately 80 nucleotides in length. Their secondary structure includes four short double-helical elements and three loops (D, anti-codon, and T loops). Further hydrogen bonds mediate the characteristic L-shaped molecular structure. tRNAs have two regions of fundamental functional importance: the anti-codon, which is responsible for specific mRNA codon recognition, and the 3' end, to which the tRNAs corresponding amino acid is attached (by aminoacyl-tRNA synthetases). tRNAs cope with the degeneracy of the genetic code in two manners: having more than one tRNA (with a specific anti-codon) for a particular amino acid; and 'wobble' base-pairing, i.e. permitting non-standard base-pairing at the 3rd anti-codon position.
Source: RNAcentral